This 297-nucleotide ribosomal RNA is filed under the name Eucinostomus gula (jenny mojarra). Its description in RNAcentral is "partial large subunit ribosomal RNA". It matches the Rfam family "Bacterial large subunit ribosomal RNA", at positions 714 to 1081 of the family's 2925-position model. The record is from RNAcentral. Lineage: Eukaryota; Metazoa; Chordata; Actinopteri; Gerreiformes; Gerreidae.
CCCGAAACUAUGCGAGCUACUCCGAGGCAGCCUAUCAAUAGGGCGAACCCGUCUCUGUGGCAAAAGAGUGGGAAGAACUCCGAGUAGAGGUGACAGACCUACCGAGCCUAGUUAUAGCUGGUUGCCUAAGAACUGAAUAGAAGUUCAGCCUUUUGGCUUCUUUCUUCACACAAAUCACCUUAAGAUUUACAAAGAAACCCAAAGAGUUAUUCAAAGGGGGGACAGCCCCUUUGAAAGAAAAAACAACUUUUUCAGAAGGUUAAAAACAAACAUCCCAAGAUCAAAUGUUCGAGUGGG